UACGUAGGUGGCAAGCGUUGUCCGGAAUUACUGGGCGUAAAGAGCUCGUAGGUGGUUUGUCGCGUUGUUCGUGAAAACUCACAGCUCAACUGUGGGCGUGCGGGCGAUACGGGCAGACUUGAGUACUGCAGGGGAGACUGGAAUUCCUGGUGUAGCGGUGGAAUGCGCAGAUAUCAGGAGGAACACCGGUGGCGAAGGCGGGUCUCUGGGCAGUAACUGACGCUGAGGAGCGAAAGCGUGGGGAGCGAACAGG
Molecule: ribosomal RNA, 253 nt
Filed under: uncultured bacterium
Lineage: Bacteria
Description: partial 16S ribosomal RNA
Rfam family: Bacterial small subunit ribosomal RNA
Source: RNAcentral